CUUUAAAGAUUUUUUUUUUUUAAAUAUCCUUCAUUUUCUUUUCUUUUUUUCAGUGAGGAUAUUGUGCAUGUGCUGCAUGUGCUUUGUAUUAAUGAAAUCAUUUAGGAGGGAUACAAUACUCUAAGAGGCAGGAGCCAAUCUUCUGAUGAGGCUACUCAUCUUCAUAUUGUCAGGCACAAAAACAGACACACACACCCAUACACAUACACACACGCACACUGUACAUUCACAGCUACAGGCAUUAACCUGUGGGAAACCUUUAUGAAAGUGCUUCCACUGCCAUGUUCCAAUAUAUAAGAUAAUACAUCCUAAAAUGACUUUUUUGGCCUCACCAUUAAGGCUUUCCAUUUUAAUAAAUGUGAGCAGUGUGGUGAGACAGGUUUGGGGCAAUCUCUAACCGUAUGGUUGUUUUAUCUGUGUUGUCAGUGUGAAAGGAGGGGGAAGGCUUGCCCAGAGAGAGUUCCCCAGGUGCUGCAGAAGAGCCGUUGCACUUAAACUUGUUUCAUGAUAUCAUAAAGCUGCACUAGAUAUCCAAAUGAACAACUCGUGCCUUUCAUUGACCCCUGUACAGAAAAUCACUAGCGACAAUAGGUUUAGAGGGAGAGGAAUAGAAGCUGAAAGGGAAAGGCGGGGGUAGUGAUAAUGUUGGCAAGCCCGGUGUGGGAGCAGGUGCCAGCAGAGAGGAUAAUAAACACAAUACACAUGACAAGAUGGCUACUCACUCCAACUAAUGUCUUUUGGCUGUGGUUAGGUCAUCGGUCUCAAAAUUCCACAUCAGCUUAAUGAGCAUUUCUUUUCUUUGCCUUCUAAUUUUCUGCUCUCGUUUCUUAUUAAUUUCUUUUCUGUCUUUCAUAAACCUGCUGUCCUUCCCUCUCACCCUGCUGUCUUUUUUUUGCUUCUGACCUGCACCUUGGGCUUCUCUCUCUCUCUCUCUCUCUCUCUCUCUCUCUCUCUCUCUCUCUCGCUCUCGCUCUCGCUCUCUAUCUCACCAGUCAGGAUCUUAAUCAGCACCAGAUGGACACGGUGUCGAAAUUGUCCAAGAGGCUCGGAGAACGCAGGGAGCUGUCAGGCCUGUGGAGAGAGUGGAAUUCUUCAGCAAUAAAACUGGGAUUUAUUGCCUCUCUAGACCCUGCUCUGAUAAAAUGUUCCUUUUCAGAUAGAGGGAGGCCACUGUCCAUUACACUCACCCAACUCCACUACCAACCUAACAACAAGCUGCUGUCAGAGACCGAAAGCCUUCUCAUCCCCUACCGAGCCAAAUGAACCUGCUAAAAUAGCUGCUUUCCACAAUAGACUGGGGUGAUAAAUUAUACAGUCAUGCUAAAAGAACCUUGCCACACAAGACAGACUUCCACAGGGUACCUGGCUUGCUGACAGUUACCUGUUCAGCCCUCUGGUGCAGGAAUAAAAUGAACUCUAUUAUGAGUCAGAUGCAUAAAUAUUUCCAUUUCUAUUUUCCAAAACUGUUUUUAAUUUUACAAGUUUUAUAGCUCUAAUAUUAAGUGC
Molecule: long non-coding RNA, 1506 nt
Organism: Ictalurus punctatus (channel catfish)
Lineage: Eukaryota; Metazoa; Chordata; Actinopteri; Siluriformes; Ictaluridae
Source: Ensembl